This 253-nucleotide ribosomal RNA is filed under the name uncultured bacterium. Its description in RNAcentral is "partial 16S ribosomal RNA". It matches the Rfam family "Archaeal small subunit ribosomal RNA", at positions 474 to 727 of the family's 1478-position model. The record is from RNAcentral.
UACCAGCACCCCGAGUGGUCGGGACGAUUAUUGGGCCUAAAGCAUCCGUAGCCGGUUUCACAAGUCCUCCGUUAAAUCCAGCUGCUUAACAGAUGGGCUGCGGAGGAUACUAUAAGACUAGGAGGCAGGAGAGGCAAGCGGUACUCAGUGGGUAGGGGUAAAAUCCGUUGAUCCAUUGAAGACCACCAGUGGCGAAGGCGGCUUGCCAGAAUGCGCUCGACGGUGAGGGAUGAAAGCUGGGGGAGCAAACCGG